GACGAACGCUGGCGGCGUGCUUAACACAUGCAAGUCACGGGGGCCCGCAAGGGCAACCGGCGAACGGGUGCGUAACACGUGAGCAACCUACCUCGAUGCGGGGGAUAGCCGGCCCAACGGCCGGGUAAUACCGCAUACGAUUCUCGAGAGGAGUCUCUUGGGAAGGAAACCUUCGGGGCAUUGAGAGGGGCUCGCGGCCUAUCAGCUAGUUGGCGGUGUAACGGACCACCAAGGCGACGACGGGUAGCUGGUCUGAGAGGAUGGCCAGCCACAUUGGGACUGAGAGACGGCCCAGACUCCUACGGGAAGCAGCAGUGGGGAAUCUUGCGCAAUGGCCGAAAGGCUGACGCAGCGACGCCGCGUGUGGGAUGAAGCAUUUCGGUGUGUAAACCACUGUUGCCCGGGACGAACAGCUU
Molecule: ribosomal RNA, 416 nt
Filed under: uncultured bacterium
Lineage: Bacteria
Description: bacterial SSU rRNA
Rfam family: Bacterial small subunit ribosomal RNA
Source: RNAcentral